UACGUAGGGUGCAAGCGUUGUCCGGAAUUAUUGGGCGUAAAGAGCGUGUAGGCGGCCCGAUUAGUCCGCUGUGAAAGUCCAGGGCUCAACCCUGGAAUGCCGGUGGAUACUGUCGGGCUAGAGUCCGGAAGGGGCGAGUGGAAUUCCUGGUGUAGCGGUGAAAUACGCAGAUAUCAGGAGGAACACCAAUGGCGAAGGCAGCUCGCUGGGACGUGACUGACGCUGAGACGCGAAAGCGUGGGGAGCAAACAGG
Molecule: ribosomal RNA, 253 nt
Filed under: uncultured bacterium
Lineage: Bacteria
Description: partial 16S ribosomal RNA
Rfam family: Bacterial small subunit ribosomal RNA
Source: RNAcentral